Long non-coding RNA from Mercenaria mercenaria, 1719 nucleotides. RefSeq lists it as uncharacterized. The transcript has 3 exons. The record is from RefSeq and is a predicted model, not a curated record. Lineage: Eukaryota; Metazoa; Mollusca; Bivalvia; Venerida; Veneridae.
CCGCUGUCAACAUGUGCAUGUGAAAACGAAAGUAGAUUUGUUAUCUAGGAAUUAUUACAACAUUUUACCCUUCUACGUUGAAUUUUUAAGAUAUAAUAGUAUGAAUACAGUAGAGAUGAUUAUUUAGUUACCUUCAACUGGUGGUCAAAAGGUAUGUCUUUUUGAUAAUUGUAAAAUUUUCCUUACAUACUUUUUCUUAUGAUAAUUGCAGGCCUCCCAAGUUAAUCUCCACAGUUCUUACCAUCUAUCUACUUUGUUUCUACUGAAAGCAUAAACACUUUAAAAUAACUAUUCUAUAUUCUGUAUAUCCAGGGUUGCAGUGUAUCACAUGAUCUUUUUGAAAUUUCUGUGACCUAUAUUUUCUAGAGUAAAAGAAAAUGUUUGUCAUAUUUAUGCAAGAGUAACACCAGAUCAACUGAGACCCAAAAUAUAGCUGUGGUGUGUGACUUACUUGUUCUCAUGACACAAUGAAAGAUCAGCUGCUGUGGAACCAGUCAUACACAUAUACUGGUACCUGCCAGAACAUUACCUUUUAAUUCAAGAAAGUUGCUUUUAAAUCAAUUUUGUGGCUUUAUAUCUAUAAACCUGAGGUCAUAUUCAUAAAGCUUCUAAGAUUAUUUUCAUCUAAGAUAUUCAAUAUUUUGUUAAAGACCUGAAGUUGAAAUAUUUUCUAAUUUAAAAUAUGAGAAACAUUAUGAAUAUGACCCGUGUAAUUAAAUUAAUUGAUGAAUCACACAAUUAUGCAUAUUGGUUAUAUCAUAAAAUAUUAUUUGACCCUUUUAUGUCAGGGAGUAUUUCCGUGUGUCUUGAAGCAUUGAAUGCCCCAAAACAACCAGUAUGAUAAGAAGGUAUUUUAGAUCUCUUUUCCUUUACCUAAGGAAGAUCUGAUAAAUAAAACUUCAAAACACUAAUUAUGCUCUGAUGUACACACAGAUUGUACCUUGCAUUUUUUUUUAUAGAGAUGAGAAGAUAGUUCAUGUAUAUAUUUGUUUUUGCACAAGAUUCAGAAUCAAUUUUCUAUCAACUAUGACAAAAGCAUUCAAUAUAUGACAUAACAAAAUUCAGUAUUUCAGGAACUUCAUUUCAAAAGGAUAUAUUAAAAAUUUAUCAAGUUGCUUUAUAUUACAUUACAGACCAAAGUAUAUCGCUUCCCAAAAUGUUGAAAGACUAAGCUGUUUUUCUAUGGACUUGUAUACUAUCUAGGUUGAAAACAGCCAUGGACAAUGAAUUUGGAGGCGCAUGCUGGAGCAUCAGAAAUUACAUACUUGGAAUAAAUGAUUACACAAUACACAUUUACUGAGAAGUGACUAAUGUUUAUGUUAAAGUGCAAUAUCCAUGUUUGUAAUAUUUACAUGGGGGUAAUAGUUACAGUGUUGAAAGAGACUACCAGUGUUGCAUUUCAAUCUAAGUUACAGUGUGGAUGCUAUUUCUAAAUUUGUGAUAAUCAAGUGUUUUUAAUAACUGAUGAAUACUAAUUAUUUAUCAAACUGUUUAAUUUAUCACAUUCCUACAUCAUUAUUUUAUAUAAAAUGCUUGUAGUAAUAUAAUAUAUGUCAGGUUAAAUGGUAAUAAAUUUUGUUUACGUGUAAAUAUCUUGAUUUUUGAAAAAUGAAAAUGAUACAUUCAGUGGCCAUCAUCUGUCAAAAAUUUAUUACACAUGACAAGUUCAUGGAAUAGCAGAAUAUACAUAACAUUGUAUAGUUUUCCUAACUUGUAUCU